Long non-coding RNA from Sander lucioperca (pikeperch), 237 nucleotides. RefSeq lists it as uncharacterized. The transcript has 3 exons. Lineage: Eukaryota; Metazoa; Chordata; Actinopteri; Perciformes; Percidae. The record is from RefSeq and is a predicted model, not a curated record.
CAAAGGUGGAAUAUGGAGGAGUCACAAAGUAUAUAAAAGUUCCACAAACAGAUGAAAACUUUGAUUUUAGCCAGUUUCUUCAAGAAGGUUUUAUGCUGCACCAGAUUGGGGGGGAUCAACUUGUGACUGUCCUUAGCUUGACUGACACAUCAGAUACUGAGGUUGACGCAGACAUAUUUGAUGAGCUUAUCAAAUCAGGGGUGCGAAACUUCAAAGUUGGAUACCGCAAGCACCCAG